GACGAACGCUGGCGGCGUGCCUAAUACAUGCAAGUUGAGCGAUGAAGAUUGGUGCUUGCACCAAUUUGAAGAGCAGCGAACGGGUGAGUAACGCGUGGGGAAUCUGCCUUUGAGCGGGGGACAACAUUUGGAAACGAAUGCUAAUACCGCAUAACAACUUUAAACAUAAGUUUUAAGUUUGAAAGAUGCAAUUGCAUCACUCAAAGAUGAUCCCGCGUUGUAUUAGCUAGUUGGUGAGGUAAAGGCUCACCAAGGCGAUGAUACAUAGCCGACCUGAGAGGGUGAUCGGCCACAUUGGGACUGAGACACGGCACAAACUCCUACGGGAGGCAGCAGUAGGGAAUCGUCGGCAAUGGACGAAAGUCUGACCGAGCAACGCCGCGUGAGUGAAGAAGGUUUUCGGAUCGUAAAACUCUGUUGGUAGAGAAGAACGUUGGUGAGAGUGGAAAGCUCAUCAAGUGACGGUAACUACCCAGAAAGGGACGGCUAACUACGUG
RNAcentral lists this ribosomal RNA (497 nucleotides) under uncultured bacterium. RNAcentral's name for it is "partial 16S ribosomal RNA". It matches the Rfam family "Bacterial small subunit ribosomal RNA", at positions 28 to 507 of the family's 1533-position model. The record is from RNAcentral.